CCUACGGGUGGCUGCAGUGGGGAAUUUUGGACAAUGGGCGAAAGCCUGAUCCAGCCAUUCCGCGUGAGUGAAGAAGGCCUUCGGGUUGUAAAGCUCUUUCGGGUAGAAAGAAAUCGCAUGGGCCAAUACCCUGUGCGGAUGACGGUACUACCAUAAGAAGCACCGGCUAACUACGUGCCAGCAGCCGCGGUAAUACGUAGGGUGCGAGCGUUAAUCGGAAUUACUGGGCGUAAAGCGUGCGCAGGCGGCUUGAUAAGACAGAUGUGAAAUCCCCG
This 275-nucleotide ribosomal RNA is filed under the name uncultured bacterium. Its description in RNAcentral is "partial 16S ribosomal RNA". It matches the Rfam family "Bacterial small subunit ribosomal RNA", at positions 338 to 605 of the family's 1533-position model. The record is from RNAcentral.